GUUUAAGUAGCUUAAAUUUAAAGCGUAAUAUUGAAGCUAUUAAUAUAGGAAUUUUCCUCUUAGACA
RNAcentral lists this transfer RNA (66 nucleotides) under Clavigralla tomentosicollis. RNAcentral's name for it is "tRNA-Phe". The record is from RNAcentral. Lineage: Eukaryota; Metazoa; Arthropoda; Insecta; Hemiptera; Coreidae.